RNAcentral lists this unclassified non-coding RNA (394 nucleotides) under uncultured Russula. Its description in RNAcentral is "sequence contains ITS1". The stretch from base 1 to 105 matches the Rfam family "5.8S ribosomal RNA", at positions 50 to 154 of the family's 154-position model. Lineage: Eukaryota; Fungi; Basidiomycota; Agaricomycetes; Russulales; Russulaceae. The record is from RNAcentral.
GAAAUGCGAUACGUAAUGUGAAUUGCAGAAUUCAGUGAAUCAUCGAAUCUUUGAACGCACCUUGCGCCCCUUGGCAUUCCGAGGGGCACACCCGUUUGAGUGUCGUGAAAUUCUCAAAACCCCUUCCUUUGCCGGAAUGGAUUUUGGACUUGGAGGCCUUUUGCUGGUUUCACCUCGAAGCCAGCUCCUCCUAAAUGGAUUAGUGGGGUCUGCUUUGCCGAUCCUUGACGUGAUAAGAUGCUUCUACGUCUCGGGUUAUUGGCACUGUGCCUCUGCUUCUAACCGUCUCUUUUGACAACGAUGGUGUUCCGGUCACCGCCGAUUCUUCGGUGGGAGGCUUGACCCACAAAACGACCUUGACCUCAAAUCGGGUGAGACUACCCGCUGAACUUAA